GUGGGGAAUUUUGGACAAUGGGCGCAAGCCUGAUCCAGCAAUGCCGCGUGCAGGAAGAAGGCCUUCGGGUUGUAAACUGCUUUUGUACGGAACGAAACGGUCCUGGUUAAUACCUGGGGCUAAUGACGGUACCGUAAGAAUAAGCACCGGCUAACUACGUGCCAGCAGCCGCGGUAAUACGUAGGGUGCGAGCGUUAAUCGGAAUUACUGGGCGUAAAGCGUGCGCAGGCGGUGCUGUAAGACAGGCGUGAAAUCCCCGGGCUCAACCUGGGAAUUGCGCUUGUGACUGCAGUGCUGGAGUACGGCAGAGGGGGAUGGAAUUCCGCGUGUAGCAGUGAAAUGCGUAGAUAUGCGGAGGAACACCGAUGGCGAAGGCAGUCCCCUGGGCCUGUACUGACGCUCAUGCACGAAAGCGUGGGGAGCAAACAGGAUUAGAAACCCCAGUAGUCC
RNAcentral lists this ribosomal RNA (450 nucleotides) under uncultured bacterium. RNAcentral's name for it is "bacterial SSU rRNA". It matches the Rfam family "Bacterial small subunit ribosomal RNA", at positions 354 to 796 of the family's 1533-position model. The record is from RNAcentral.